Long non-coding RNA from Frankliniella occidentalis (western flower thrips), 1052 nucleotides. RefSeq lists it as uncharacterized. The transcript has 4 exons. The record is from RefSeq and is a predicted model, not a curated record. Lineage: Eukaryota; Metazoa; Arthropoda; Insecta; Thysanoptera; Thripidae.
GGGACGUCUAUGGUAACAUUCGAAAUUCGCCCGAGUGUCGGCCGGAAGUGACGUAAUGAGUUGGGUUUGUAACGCAGUAUACUCUCGAGUGUGGUCGUUCCCGCGAUACCUCGAUGUCCACGUCGAGGGUACUGUAGUGCCAAUAACGGUGGCUCAGUGACGUCAUUGUUGUAAGUUUGUUUUCAUGUGAUAAUUUUCAAUAACAACAAAGAACGAGUAAAUAUCAUAAUGUGCGAUCGUGUUCUGAUUCGAUCUAGUCAGCGAAAAAUCACAACUGAACCGCGGGCCUGAAUAUUUGGAUUCUGUCUGCUGCUGGGCCUUCAAUAGUUUUUGCCUCAUUUGUUUAUGUUUACUCCCUUCGUUUACUUUCACACAUGGACUUUAUGUGACGGAGUGAUCGAAAAUGCAAAUGGUGUUUCUGUAAAAGUGAGGCGAGUGAUUUGUCUUGCAAGUGGCCGUAUUGUGGAAAUAGUAAUAUGCAAACUGUGAUAGGACCUUCCAUGUCGCCUGGUGGAUUAUUGAAGUAAUCAGUAUCAGGACUACCAUUUUCCGGUAUCAGCUGACAUAUCAACCACAAAGACAAAUUAUUGGUUCUUCAGUGUCAUACCUAGCUGCUUACUCCCUGUUUACAAUCAAGCAUCAAAACAUUUCAAUAGAAUGACUGUCAGAAUGCACUGAUUAAAAGUGAAACAAAGAUGAAGUUUGUUCACAAAAAAAAAAGUCAACAGUAAAGGUGUUGCAGUGAUCAAAAUGUCAAGUUCUGACAGUGACUGUAUGCUCAUUGUGAAGACGAUAGCAGCAAACUGUGGCAAGGUGUCACUUCAUGAUUAGAUUGACCAACACCUCUGGAGAUGUGAUUCUCAAAGAUUUCCGAGGUUGGAUAGCGUCCAAACGCUAUAUUUAUUUUCACUUGAGUUUCAACUCUUGGAUUUAAUUUUAACAUCUGAAAAGCAGUGGAUGGACUUGGACAAUGUAAGGAAAUGGCAUUUUAUAUGGAUUUUAGCCUAAAAAGUUGAGUUUUAUGGUAAUCUAUAUUAGUAAGAGAAGAGGGG